This 333-nucleotide unclassified non-coding RNA is filed under the name soil metagenome. Its description in RNAcentral is "partial contains 5.8S ribosomal RNA, internal transcribed spacer 2, and large subunit ribosomal RNA". The stretch from base 1 to 120 matches the Rfam family "5.8S ribosomal RNA", at positions 35 to 154 of the family's 154-position model. The record is from RNAcentral.
GAUGAAGAACGCAGCGAAAUGCGAUAAGUAAUGUGAAUUGCAGAAUUCAGUGAAUCAUCGAAUCUUUGAACGCACAUUGCGCCCUUUGGCAUUCCGAAGGGCAUGCCUGUUCGAGCGUCAUUACACCAAUCAAGCCUGGCUUGGUAUUGGGCGACGGGGACCGCAAGGCCCCCGCGCCUUAAUGACACCGGCGGGACGGACCGUAUCUCAGCGUUGUGGUAAAAAGCCGCUGGCGAGACGGGCUCGGCCGUGCCGUUAAACAACCCCAUCAAAGGUUGACCUCGGAUCAGGUAGGGAUACCCGCUGAACUUAAGCAUAUCAAUAAGCGGAGGA